This 617-nucleotide ribosomal RNA is filed under the name Salmonella enterica subsp. enterica serovar Anatum. RNAcentral describes it as "partial 23S ribosomal RNA". It matches the Rfam family "Bacterial large subunit ribosomal RNA", at positions 593 to 1211 of the family's 2925-position model. Lineage: Bacteria; Pseudomonadati; Pseudomonadota; Gammaproteobacteria; Enterobacterales; Enterobacteriaceae. The record is from RNAcentral.
GUGACUGCGUACCUUUUGUAUAAUGGGUCAGCGACUUAUAUUCUGUAGCAAGGUUAACCGAAUAGGGGAGCCGGAGGGAAACCGAGUCUUAAUUGGGCGUUAAGUUGCAGGGUAUAGACCCGAAACCCGGUGAUCUAGCCAUGGGCAGGUUGAAGGUUGGGUAACACUAACUGGAGGACCGAACCGACUAAUGUUGAAAAAUUAGCGGAUGACCUGUGGCUGGGGGUGAAAGGCCAAUCAAACCGGGAGAUAGCUGGUUCUCCCCGAAAGCUAUUUAGGUAGCGCCUCGUGAAUUCAUCUCCGGGGGUAGAGCACUGUUUCGGCUAGGGGGCCAUCCCGGCUUACCAACCCGAUGCAAACUGCGAAUACCGGAGAAUGUUAUCACGGGAGACACACGGCGGGUGCUAACGUCCGUCGUGAAGAGGGAAACAACCCAGACCGCCAGCUAAGGUCCCAAAGUCAUGGUUAAGUGGGAAACGAUGUGGGAAGGCCCAGACAGCCAGGAUGUUGGCUUAGAAGCAGCUAUCAUUUAAAGAAAGCGUAAUAGCUCACUGGUCGAGUCGGCCUGCGCGGAAGAUGUAACGGGGCUAAACCAUGCACCGAAGCUGCGGCAGCGA